UAAGGAAUCUUCCACAAUGGGCGAAAGCCUGAUGGAGCAACGCCGCGUGCAGGAUGAAGGCCCUCGGGUCGUAAACUGCUUUUAUGAGUGAAGAAUAUGACGGUAACUCAUGAAUAAGCACCGGCUAACUACGUGCCAGCAGCCGCGGUCAUACGUAGGGUGCAAGCAUUAUCCGGAGUGACUGGGCGUCACGAGUUGCGUAGGCGGUUAGUAAAGCGAAUAGUGAAACCUGGUGGCUCAACCAUACAGACUAUUAUUCGAACUCACUAACUCGAGAGUGGUAGAGGUAACUGGAAGUUCUUGUGUAGGAGUGAAAUCCGUAGAUAUAAGAAGGAACACCAAUGGCGUAGGCAGGUUACUGGACCAUUUCUGACGCUAAGGCACGAAAGCGUGGGGAGCGAACC
This 404-nucleotide ribosomal RNA is filed under the name uncultured bacterium. RNAcentral's name for it is "bacterial SSU rRNA". It matches the Rfam family "Bacterial small subunit ribosomal RNA", at positions 355 to 774 of the family's 1533-position model. The record is from RNAcentral.